RNAcentral lists this ribosomal RNA (422 nucleotides) under uncultured bacterium. Its description in RNAcentral is "bacterial SSU rRNA". It matches the Rfam family "Bacterial small subunit ribosomal RNA", at positions 355 to 774 of the family's 1533-position model. The record is from RNAcentral.
UGAGGAAUAUUGGGCAAUGCCCGCAAGGGUGACCCAGCAACGCCGCGUGGAGGAUGAAUGUCGUAAGAUUGUAAACUCCUGUUAGAGGGGAAGAAUAGUACCGGUUGGACCGGUAUAUGACUGUACCCUCAGAGAAAGCCCCGGCUAACUACGUGCCAGCAGCCGCGGUAAUACGUAGGGGGCAAGCGUUGUCCGGAUUUACUGGGUGUAAAGGGCGCGCAGGCGGGACAAAAAGUCAGUGGUGAAAGCCUGCAGCUUAACUGCAGAAUUGCCAUUGAUACUGUUAGUCUUGAGUACAGUUGAGGUAGGCGGAAUGUGUCAUGUAGCGGUGAAAUGCUUAGAUAUGACACAGAACACCGAUUGCGAAGGCAGCUUGCUAAGCUGUAACUGACGCUGAGGCACGAAAGCGUGGGGAGCAAACA